UCGAACGGGCCCGGUCUUCGGAUCGGGCCAGUGGCGGAAGGGUGAGUAAGGCGACGGUAACCAACCCCAUGGUCGGGUAUAGCCGCGGGAAACUGCGGGUAAUCCCCAGCGACGUGCGGGGCCGGCAUCGGCCCCUCACCAAAGCUCAGGCGCCGUGGGACGGGCCGUCGUGGUAUUAGCUAGUUGGCGGGGUAACGGCCCACCAAGGCUGUGAUGCCUACCGGGCGUGCGAGCGUGGCCCGGCACACUGGGACUGAGACACUGCCCAGACUCCUACGGGAGGCUGCAGUCGAGAAUCUUCGGCAAUGGGCGCAAGCCUGACCGAGCGACGCCGCGUGGAGGAUGAAGGCCUUCGGGUUGUAAACUCCUGUCGAGGGGGAGGAAGGGGAGACCUUGACCGAUCCCUGGAGGAAGCACGGGCUAAGUUCGUGCCAGCAGCCGCGGUAAGACGAACCGUGCGAACGUUAUUCGGAAUCACUGGGCUUAAAGCGCGUGUAGGCGGGCGGGUACGUCGGCGACUGAAAGCCCCCGGCUCAACCGGGGAAGGGGUGCCGAAACGGCCGGCCUGGAGGGGCGUAGGGGGACCUGGAACUUCCGGUGGAGCGGUGAAAUGCGUUGAGAUCGGAAGGAACGCCCGUGGCGAAAGCGAGGUCCUGGACGCCAUCUGACGCUGAGACGCGAAAGCCAGGGAGCGAACGGGAUUAGAUACCCCGGUAGUCCUGGCCGUAAACGAAUGGGCACUGGGUAGGGGGCUC
Molecule: ribosomal RNA, 755 nt
Filed under: uncultured bacterium
Lineage: Bacteria
Description: bacterial SSU rRNA
Rfam family: Bacterial small subunit ribosomal RNA
Source: RNAcentral